GUCGAAAUAGCUUAUUCAGAGCUUUACAUUGAAGCUGUAAAGGAGAUUAUAUCUUUCAACA
Molecule: transfer RNA, 61 nt
Filed under: Trinorchestia longiramus
Lineage: Eukaryota; Metazoa; Arthropoda; Malacostraca; Amphipoda; Talitridae
Description: tRNA-Phe
Source: RNAcentral